AGGGGCGAAAGUGGGAAGAGGAAGAGUACGGCUAUAAGGCCGGCAGUGAUCACAGCUCCUUCAACUGAACUGCUGCUCAGAAAGGGGUUUAAAGCCCUUUGGUAGAAGCUAUUGCUGAUCAAAUCCAAAACCCACAACAUGCUCUUGAGGAAAAGCCUUCCUUUUUUUUUUUUUUUUCUUUUAAGCUAGUUACUUGCAAGUCUGGUAAUUUAACAGAGCUAUGAAAUGACUGUGGUUUGAAAUCCCCAUGCUUGUGUGGCUGUGGGUGUGUGGAUGCUGUUCUGGCCUGUUUGGCUUUGUUUCAGAAUUGUAAAACUGCAUGGUAGAGAGCAACCCAGAUCCAGGGGUGUUGGGUCUAAGAUCAGGCGUAACGCAAGGCAUAUGAAUUCCCAUGCCUUUUGGCCUGGGAGCUGCACAUAGGAUGACAACUUGGUAGAAAAAAAGGAGACAUGGGAAUUGCUAGAUUUUUUGCUUUUGGAUUUCACUUGGCUAUUGGAUGUGGACAGGGAUGCAAGUUUGUGAUUUGGAUUAAUCUGGACAAGAAACUAAAAUGAGAUACAGUAAACACACAAACACCACGCUGGAGGUGUAGUCAUCGUGGCUGAAAUCAGGGACCAUGGUUUGACAAAAUAAGCUCGAGUCACUUCAUAAAACAAGGUCUGCUCAGAAUUUGGCUGUUUAUGCUGAUACCUCACAGCACAAUUACAAAGGCCUGGCUGUGGUACAGGUGGUGAAAGUUGCAGUAAGAUUAGACUUUACCACAGCCACAGCCCCUGCUGAGAAGCAGGGCAGAAGCGCAAAGCUGCAUCUAGUUUGCAGAUUGGUGAGAAGAGAUGUUAUAUACCAACGAGCAUGUUUUUUCUCUGUGGGGAUCAUUCAGCUCCACUCAUGAAAAGUCUCAGGAACAACACUUUCUGGUACCAUACUGUCUGUUUGGCUUUACAAACUGCUGAGUGGGGUCAUUAGGAGACAAGAGGAUUGGGUCCCUCACAGAUCUGCUGUUAGGAGCUUGCUUGGGGUUUAUAAGCUUUUGCUUUCACGUGCACAUGCACUUUUCUAGCCAAAAUCCCCCUUCAAACCCCCUUUCAAUGAAGUUGCUUAUGCAAAUCUGGUGUAUGCAAAUACACUUACCAAGAACUUCCCCAAUUGGCGUGAGAUCUAUGCAACUCAUCCCCAGAGCUCUCCUCAGCAAGACAGCUGGGCUCUUGGCAUCAAGUCGGAGCCUUAGAGGGCUUUUACUUACAGCCUGAAUGGUGUGAAUGGAUCAUAGCCUGAUAUGUUGACUACCAGGGAGAAUGCUCCUGGAGUGCUGAGUGAGCCUGCCAUCUCUGACAGGAAUGACUCUGAGGAGGUUGUCACCUACAUCUCGGAGAGCAUGACGGUGACCUCAGCCGAUGAGGAGAAGCUGAUGCUGCUCAACAAGAACACAGAGCUGCGGCGCAUCAACAAGGAGCUGAUGAAGCUGAAUCAAGAGUGGGACCAGAUUUACCACACCACAUCCCUGGGGCUGCAGCAGAAGAUCAGGGCCCUGCAGCAGGAGGUGCUCACCCUCAAGCAGCAGACAGAGAAGCUCUCCAUGAAGUUGGAGCAUGAACAGAACAAGAGGGAGUACUACGAACAAACCCUGAUCCAGGAGCUCAAGAAGAACCAGCAUUUACAGGAGUAUGUAAGGCAGUUAGAAGGCAAUCGACACCAUAGCAGGGAGAAAAGGACCUCAGCUGGUGCAGAGGUGUUUUCAUCCAUGCCCUGGGAGGAAUUCCCAGAUUUCCAGUUCCCACUUCAGAAGAAUGCGAAGGAGAAUUCUCCAAGGAAACACGAAGCAGCUGGUCCAAAAGUGCAAGGCAGUGACAGCUGCAAGCCCAGGAAGUGCCAGCACUUCCCACAUUUUAAUAGCAGCUCAGACCCUGAAAAAGAGGUGACAGACCUGAAGGACCAGCUGGAAGCCCUGAAGUGCCAGACAGAAAUUUAUGAGGCAGAUUACAGGACAGAACACAAAGACCGGGAGCGAAUCAAGGCAGAGAACGAGAAGCUGCGGAAGAAGGAGGAGGAGAUGAGGCAGCAGAUGGCACUUCUGCAGGAGCAGCUCAAGAUUUUUGAGGACGACUUCAGGAAGGAAAGAUCAGAUAAGCAGCUGCUUCAGCGCCUCUUAAAGAGCAAGUCUCACCCCAAAGAGCCCAUCCUGGUUCAUCGCUGCAACAGCCACGAGAAGCCACCAGCACCCAUUUCCUCCGCGCACAGCAUUUCUUCCCCCACACCCAAGCGAGGCACCUGCAACAAGCACUGUGAGAAGCAUGGCCCCAAGACAGGGGAGCAGACCAAGCAUCACCAGCCCCCAGAUGCUCAAGCACAGGCCCCCCCUUUCAGCAGAGACUACUAGGAAGGAAAGACACAGAAACAGCAGAGACAGAACUCCAAGGCAGUCCCUUCUAAGCUCCUACAUCAUCUUCUGCCAUCACUUCCAGCUGGGUCCAUGUUUCUACUGCAACUAGGAACUGGUUGUAGUGCUGUUCUUCUGCACCAGGCAGGCAAAUAACCACAGAUGCUUUUAGCCGUCACCACUGGUUACAGCUCAGACCAAAUCAGGGCUUGAGGACUGAUCCAGUUCUGACGCAGAAGCCCAGAUGAACCGCCUUGCUUCCUCUCCUGCCUUUUGUCCACACCACUGAAAUAACAAUGGAGUGUUUGUGCACAGGCCUUGAUGGAACCCAGCUCCAAAGGCAGUUCACGCUCCUUUGCUCCUAGAGCACCACCAGCUUCAGGCUAACCUCCAACAUACUCUAGGGAGAUGAAGCUUGAAGAAGCACAUUGUCCCACGCAUCAAGAAGGGCACUGAGAAAAAGGAGGCCUCAAGGUAAAAUUAGGUGAUGCUUCUGUUUGCAUCUGAAAAAGGGCUUAUUGCUCCUAUUGCUGUAAAAGGACUCCAGGCUCCUUUGCUAUAUUUUGUCCUUAAUUAACAGUGUCUUCCAGUGCCUCAUUAAGUCUUGGAUGACUUCAGCUCUGCUAUAGCAGCGCUCACUUGGCACCAGAAACUCAGCCAGAGAAAAUCAGGGACAACUCGUUUUUAUUUAUUUUAACCUUUUUCCCCAGAUUUUAUUACUGUGAAGCUUUGCACAAUCUAUUAAAAGUACAUACAAAUAUCUUAGUUUUUAAGCGCCUGUCAGACAGGCAGCAGUAUGUUCUUUUCUUCAUUAGAAACCAAAUGACAGCUGACCCAAUAGCUCUGGAGAUAAAGUAAAGGUUUCCGUCUUCAAGGGGGCGGGGAAGGUACAAUGUCUGGCCUGCAAGAGAGGAAACUUUCUUAUAUUUCUCCAUCUAUGCCCCAAGAAUGGGGUGAGGAGCUCACUCUCAUGGCCUCAGGAGCAGUUCCAUUAGUUGGUUGUAGCAACACCAGCCAAUUUGUAAUGUAGACUGCUGUCCGUUAGGAACUGGGCUGAAUGUAACUGGUCACAGGUUGGACCCUCGCUGCAUUCAGACAGUGACCUAGAGCUGAAAGCCCCGAAAUCCAAGCAAGAGCUUUCAAAACCAACGUCCUCAAUAGGCAACUGUUAACAACAAAACUGUGUUGUUUCGAAAGGCAACCUAGGGGUGGGCUGGAUACCCACUUUGUUAAGCAUCUGUGGGAGGAUUUUGUGUUACUUUUAUCUGAUGCAUGAUACACACAUGAGCUUGUGUGGUUAGCCAACGCUUCUGCAGGCACCAGUGCUCAGACACCAAAGUUUGUGUGGUAUAAAUACCUAGAGCACAUAUAACCAGCUCAGAAAUACCAGCAUACUAAGGUUACAGCCACCUCAGAAAUCCAGCCUCAUGCAUCACAGAGUCACUCUUCCAUGAAGAGCAUCUACAUACAGAGUUAUGAAUCCCUAGGUUUGGCAGGUUAGUAACUGGCUCAUGAAACUCUGAACACCUACUCAUAGGAGAAAUGGGAAGAGUCUUACAACCAAAGUCUGCCUUUAAACUCAAGUAAAGUCUCCAAAUAAGGACAUUUUACUGCCUUCCAUACCAAGGGGAAAUACCGAACCCCCAGUCAGCAAUACUAUCCCACAAAGGUCUACAACAAACCAAAAAGAAAAAGACUCACUGUUAGAACACUCUCCUUAAAACACUGUCUCAUGCUCCACAAGUUUAUGCCCAGAGACUACACCAGGGGAUCUCAAAGCAGAGGUUCUUCCAGGCAAAAUGUUUCACAAACAUUAAAGCUCACAACGCUGCUGGAAGGUAAGAGCUUUCCCAGACAACAGAUGUGGUAAAAGAGGUGAUGUGAUUGGUAUGUCGUCACACAGCAAGACAGUAUCACUGGGAAAUGGAAUCCCAGACUGACCCCAAGGCCUAUAGCACAUGUUUAUGAUGGUACUCUACCAAACAGUUCCUACCAGCAUCCCCAUUCAGACCGCAUACCGUUGCUGUGGAAAGGAUGAUGCUUAGUUAUAUGAAGAAGUUACGUUAGAAGACUUGAGAGCCCACAGUUGAACAUGCAUCGAUUUGUAGAUUCAAAAAUAUAAAGCAGGGGUGUCAAAGAUAGGACCCCAUCAUCGAGCCCCUGGUGCUGGCCCUGGGUCUUCUAACGUACCUGCCUCAUAUAACUAAGCAUUAUCCUUUCCACAGCAAUGAUGUGGGGUCUGGAUGGGGAUGUUGGUAGGACCUGCAAGUCACAUAUGGCAUCCCAUCUGGACAUUAGUUGUAUGUGGCACCUAUUCCAGGACCCAUGCUGCAUCCACACGGAGCCAGUUUGAGAGGUGGGGCAGAAGUUUUCAAGCAAGGGUACCAAAAAGCCUUAUAACCAAGAACUCUUAAAGUCACAAACCAUGUAGAGCAUGGAACUCCAGGAAAGACCAAGGACUGGAUCAACUUCAGUGGGAUUUCAGUGAUUUUCAAAUGUAAUUCUAACCAUCAACCAAGCUCUGAUCCACCCAAUACCUAGCCCAUGAAUCCAGUGGUGAUCAACAAGAGCAUUGUGGCUUUUAAAUAAAAGAUGUACAGGGAAACAAUCAGCUCAGAGAGAACAGCAGCCUAUAGCAAGUGUUGCUGCAGGGGACACUGCUGGUAGCCAUGAAUCCAACAAACACAGCAAGUCGCAUGCAAAUCUUCCAUGCUGAACUGCUGACACACCAGCAUAUAUCCACCAAUAUUAAUCCUCCUCUACUAGCCUAGGAUCUCUCUCAAUUGCUUCUGAGGCAGGAGCUUUUCCUUCAUAUUGCCAUUAUUUUUGACUUAUAGACAAACCUUGAAGUUAGACAUGUAGCAGCACUAACAUACCAUCUAAAUACAGAAUAAUGGGUGUACUGUAUAUUGGUUGUGCCAAAGAUUUGCCCUUUCAUUGGAGUAAGGCUGGUUAAAAUGAACCCUGAUUAAUGCUUCCUGUACUGUUUACCUGUGAUCUCAUAUGAUGCCUGACAGUCUGUGUAGACCGUGAGUUAAAUUGUGUUUAGCAUCAGGUCAGUUAGAAUGACUCCUGACAGUCACGGGCCUCACACUAUACUGAAAACAAGGCCAGAGUGGACAGGGUUAAUGAUUUGAGUUUUUCUGUAGGCAAACACAAUUACAGGAUUUCAGUCCUCAAAAACCUUUUAUAUAAAGCAGCUUGAAUUUCCCCCCACCUAUAGAUACACCAGAAGUCACUGCAAUGUUCAGCAACAAGAUGCCUCCAGUUAUUGAUUUAGGCCCAAGAGUUGCUGGCACAAGUAUGAAUAAGAUUCAGUACUAGGACAAGCAGCCACGAUUGCUCAGAAGCAAGUGUCCUGGGUAAGACCUUGAUAGAAUUAAUUUGUAAGCACUCCAUUUUCCAAUGUGCCAAUCAAAUAGAUGCUAGUCUUUUGGGGAGUAAGGGAACAGUGCACACAGAUUUGCUAAUUUCACACUCCAAUCAGUAGAGGAAAGGGAGUGGAGAUGCCCAAGAAACUUUUCAGUAGGCCUUUGAAAAGGGUGGUUGUAUUAGGAAACACGAACCCUGUACUUCCAAGUUGUUUUUUUAAUAUGUUGUGCCUUAAAUCUGAAAGAAGGCAGAGGAAUUCAAGCAAGCAGGUUAGAUUUCUAAGUGAAAUGCUAGCAGAAAAGCAUUUCAACUGUGCAUGCCACAAUUCAAGAACCGUGUCCAGGCCUCAGCUGCUUAGUAUGUACUGCCCAAAGCUCCUUGCCAUACAGAAGAUAAGGGACUGCAACUUUAUAAAAGGACUUCAAAUGCCAGUAGGCUGCAGUUAUGAACAUAAGGACAGUUGACCUCAAUAUUCCUCAAGGAAGCAAAGAUCCAUUUUAAUAAAUCAACCUUUAAAAAGGGGAAGAGUUCUCAUUUUGAGACCAACAGUAGUCUCUUUCCUCCAUGCUGCAGCUUCAUUCAAACAGCAGGAAGGAAGGAAAUGGUUACAGAACUCCCCCGGGAGCAAAGGGCAACAGAGCAGACUGGCACUGGGUGGCCAUUACAACCUGUCUUCAUAAAUUUACAGAUGCAGUACGUGAGCUAGCAACACACCCCACAACCUCUGCCCUGGCAGAACUGAAAAUAUUAUGGGUAGAUUGCAUUGAAGCAGAAAAAUUACUUGGAAAGGAGAAGAGACAGUGAUGGGAACUUAGCCAGCAAUGUAUGCUGGGGAUGUAAAGUGAAGAUUAAGAGUGUUUUCUUUUGGCCACUGUUGGAAUGGUGAAGACAAGUAGUGUGGCAUUCACCUUGACACUUGUUCCUUGCAGAUACAAACAUUAUGGUACAUCACAGUAACAUUAAUCCUAUGUGUCUUUGGGAGACAAAAGAACACAACAGGACCCCAUUAAAAUUUAGUUCUUGCAACAUGAAGUUACAUUUACCUCUUGCCCCUAAAACUUAAGCUCCAUCGACAGAAGAUCUAGAGAUAUGGCCGUAAUAAGUAAUUAAAAGCUAGAAUUCUCCAAACCAGCCAAAAAUAGGACUUGCUUUACAUCCCAUCCCCUGCUGCUUGAUGAUGAAUAUCAACAGGACAUCUCUCAGGGCAGGAGGAACAACCCUAUUAGCACUGGUCUGUGAAACACUGCUGGUGCUAUAGCAGAUCCUGUGGUGGAAUGUUGAUCUCACAUGCCAAGGCUUCUUUGAUGCCAAAACUAAACACUGCCCUCUGCUGGCAAUGCUCCUCUGCAGCUUUUAAAUCAAUCUGCUAUUUCAAAUACAUACCAAGCAACAAACUGAUAGCAAGGAGCACAAUUCAGUUACGAGCUUGUCUUUGAAAGCAGCCAAAACAAUGCUCCAUUCAGAACAGUGAAGAAAAACAGUUUAAAUCUUUCAUUGCAAUUCUGUGCACCAAGUUAAACAGCUGGUAAAAUGACACAAGAGCUGUUCUAGCAGACUCGUCACAUGGGGAGGGAUACUCGUCUCACACUGGAGGGUGCCAAGGACCUGCUUGAAAGUACCCAAAGCAGGUAAGCACCUAAGAUACUAGGUGCAGCUGUAACACACAUAAUAGUUACAGUGGCCCAGCUAACAUGCUUUAUUAACCCAUCUGAAAUUGGGGAAGUUUAGACCAUGAAGGGACAUAAUGAAAGAGUGAACUUCAAGCUACUACACCAACGUGCUCCACAGAAGACAUCACGCAACAAUUUCCGUGAAGAAUGGAAUUAUACAAAAACUCCAAAAGCAGGCUUCAGAACAGGGAUGUGAAACACCCUUCAAGGACUGAAAGAGGGGAAAUGUGAAUCAAGCAUUUAGUCCCAGUCACAGAAGCGCUGCUGAGUGGGAGUUUGGGAAACUUCAUGAAAGCUACUGUUUCAUAUUAAGAGACUGACCUGCUGGGCUGGCGCUCGCAUCUGCAUGCACAUGGGCACUCAGCCCCCCCGCACCCCAGGCUCGGAUUGACUCCAAAAGGCUCCAGGAUAUACCAGUGGAUCGAGAUCCCCUGGUUGGUGACCACUGGGCUACAUGGUGAGCUGUAGAGGGCUGCACAUAUAAAAACUUUCAGAAGAUAUCAUUUUAACAAAUAGAUAAAAAAAAUGAUAUACUAAAAAUCAAAUACUGUAACAUUUUAAUUUUAUUUAAAAAAAUUAAUUUUUGUCCUGGUUUGUUUUUGAGUAGUGUAUAUAGAAGGUGAUAGCAUAAUAGCUCAAAAUAAAGUCUUAAUCUUGUAUAGUGUGUCUGUGGAGGGGUGGGUGUGCGCCUGCGUGCGGGGGGCUGCCUGCAUGCUAGGUCCUGGGAGCCAGUUGGGGGUGAGGGGAGGAAGGGGCAGGGGUUUCUUGGAACAGAGCUCACCCCGCAUUGCGAUUCAUCCCCCCUCAUCCAACUUGCAGCUGCCCUCACAGUGCUCCAUAUGCGGCCAAGACCCUCUUGCUCUAGCCAGGGCAGCGUGUGCCACUCUCCUGCCUACACCCGCCCCAGGCCUAGCCCCAGCCAGCAUGCAGCUUCCUAGCAGGGCUGCUCCUGCAGCCACCCUGGUACUCCUUGGCUCCUUCUCCCCUCAAGAGGCUCCUCCUCCUGCCUGCUGAGCCAUGACAGGCAGCAGAGAGUGCAGAGAAGCUGAAGGGAUGCACGCCAUACCCAGCCAGGCAGGGGGAAGCUGCAGCUCGGCAUCUCCUGCCCCAGUGUGCAGGGCUCCAAUUCCAGCUUCUGGUCGCCUUCCAACCGCUGGCCACCUGCAGGCGGCUGUUCAUUGCACUGGGCAGGCAGAGUAGGUGGAAGGCAGUUGGGAGCUGGAGCCCCAUGCCCUGGGGCAGACACUGCCCAGCUGCAGCUCCCUCCCCCACCUGGCUGGGCACAUGGUGCUCAACACACAUCCCCAUUUUCCUGUGCUACCUGCUGCUCAGAGCAGCGCAGAAGGGGCAGGAAGAGAAGCAGUACUCAGGACUGCCCUGGGUGGGGCAGGGACCCAGGUGAAGCCCUGCAGGUUGGACAUGAUCAACUGGCAGGAUAGAUCUGGUCCAUGGGCCAUAUUUUGCCCACCCCUGGCUUUGUCCACAUUAAAUCCAGUGGACAAAAUCCAGCCUGCUUGUUUCAGCUAUAUCUAUAUGACAGGUAGUCUCAGAAGUAGAAGCUAGAAAUUAAAGGCAAGAAAGAUGACAAGUGGGUGGAAGCCAGAUCAGCUAUCUGGUGGGGAUAAACAACAUUUCGAUUCCUCUGAGGUUUAUUCAAUCCACAGAAACGUCCCCUUAAGGAGGGGGAUUCUAAAGACAUAUUGGCCUGAAAAUGAGCCCAACGUGAAAGCCACGCUGUAUCACAGCACCUGGCUUCCAGGUUUCUGAAAGGCUUAUACCAUCUUCUGCCUUCAGUGGCAGGGAGCAAAUAUUACCCAGACACCUCCUGAAUUGUUGCCUAACAACGCAUCUAGACUGUAUCUGUUGGAUGCUAAAAAUCUACCAUGUGAUUUGGGACUGCUUUCAAGUUGGGUCAGUAGUUUCAGUCCAAUUACACAACACCUCUGACCCAAAAUAGUCUAGCCGAUACCUCAAAGCAGUUCUUAUAGGAGAUGCAGUACUUACAAUUCAUGUAACUGUGUGACUUCACACCUCUAUGCUCUUAUCUCAGGGAGUGGCUAGAAUGCAAUAACAUCAAGAUCCAUGUGCAGAAGAUUUAACAGCUACUGGAUCAUAACCUGAAAUACCAGGCAUCAUGGCAAAGCAUGAGUGUUUUUUGCUUAACUAGUUCCAUGUCCAAGAAAAUCCUGAAUUCUGUCUAACCCAAGCAGGUUCGCUUGUUGUUUUACACAUGGGGCCACCUUGCUUUAUUCAGAGUCCUUUGCACAACUGCCCAAAUAUAGAGGAACAGAAGAGAGUUAGAUUUGAACCAGCAACCUAGAAGUGAGGGUCUCUAUCCCUCACAAAAAACCCAGCAACCCUCUAUACCAUCUAGCCCUCUAAAGUACUACAGCAAUACUGAAUCUUCUGGAUUUCUUUCCCUGCAGCACUCCCAGGAGCUAGUAAAGAUGCUACAAUCAGGCAGGAGGUGGAUUAAAAAGAAAUUAAUUUGAUUCUACAUUACACGAGCCAGCAGUAUCUGAAAUGGGCAAAGAGUAGUUCAGAGAUAGUAAAUUUGGAGGCUGCAAGCAAUUCAGAACGUUCAGAGGCUUUCUUUAAACAGUUGAACAGAGUCUCUGGAGAAAGUGUUGGCGAGGAUGCAUUUAGAGCGAGAGAUGGUAACAGCAUUGUGUAAGAUAACAACGCCAGUAUGCUGUUCCUAAGAACUUGCUAAUAAGGCAACAAGGAAGUU
Molecule: RNA transcript, 10150 nt
Organism: Alligator sinensis (Chinese alligator)
Lineage: Eukaryota; Metazoa; Chordata; Crocodylia; Alligatoridae
Gene name: TNFAIP3-interacting protein 3-like
Exons: 9
Source: RefSeq, a predicted model, not a curated record